Molecule: ribosomal RNA, 776 nt
Filed under: uncultured Neocallimastigales
Lineage: Eukaryota; Fungi; Neocallimastigomycota; Neocallimastigomycetes; Neocallimastigales
Description: partial large subunit ribosomal RNA
Rfam family: Eukaryotic large subunit ribosomal RNA
Source: RNAcentral
UAUGUGAUCGUCUCUCGCAUAUCAAUAAGCGGAGGAAAAGAAACUAACAAGGAUUCCCCUAGUAACGGCGAGUGAAGCGGGAAGAGCUCAAAUUUGAAAUCUUAAAGGGUUUCCCUUUACGAAUUGUAGUUUAAAGAAGUGUUUUCUGUUGAGGUUUUGGUAAAAGUUCUUUGGAAUAGGACAUCAUAGAGGGUGAGAAUCCCGUAUUUGACCUUUACUUUCAACUUUGUGAUACACUUUCAAAGAGUCGGAUUGUUUGGGAAUGCAGUCCAAAAUGGGUGGUAAAUUUCAUCUAAAGCUAAAUAUUGGCGAGAUGACCGAUAGCGAACAAGUACCGUGAGGGAAAGAUGAAAAGAACUUUGAAAAGAGAGUUAAACAGUACGUGAAAUUGUCAAAAGGGAAGCGUUUGACACCAGUGUUGUUUUUCUGAAAAUCAAUUAAAGAACUGUUUAUGCUAAGUUGUUUAGACUUUAUCAGCUAAUCUGCUUAGUUUUGAGCUUUUCUUUAAUGCACUUUUCAGUUAACAAGUCAACAUCAAUUUCUUUUGCUGUAAAAAAGCUUGAGGAAGGUGGCUUGAGAUUCGUCUUAAGUGUUUAUAGCCUCUUGCCUAUGCAGUCGGAGAGAUUGAGGUCUGCAGCGUAGAUCCUUCGGGGCUAAAUGCAUUUGUGCUAAGUUAUAGCAUUUUAUAGACAACUUGUUGACUAUGAUUUGUCUUGUAGCUUACUCGCUUAUGUUAUUUUACCUACGCUUAGGAUGUUGAGUAGCGACAUACGCAC